UUCCGUAGGUGACCUGCGGAAGGAUCAUUAUUGAAUAAACUGUGGGCGCUGUGCUGGCCUUUCGGGGUAAUGUGCACGCGUUCGCUUUUUUGCUUAAAUCUCUUGUGAACCAGUGUAGUCGUUUUGUUGGGUUUUUCGAGCGUUGCUUGUUGGAAGCUGGAGAGCAAUCUCUGGUGGAAUUAGGGCAUUCAAUCGAUUAGCUUUGUAGCAGGCAAGACGACUAUGAUUUUUAUAUACCCAAAUCAAGUCUUAGAAUGUUUUUUUUAUUGGCCGUAAAACGUCAGUAGAACCAAAUACAACUUUCAGCAACGGAUCUCUUGGCUCUCCCAUCGAUGAAGAACGCAGCGAAAUGCGAUAAGUAAUGUGAAUUGCAGAAUUCAGUGAAUCAUCGAAUCUUUGAACGCACCUUGCGCCCUUUGGUAUUCCGAAGGGCAUGCCUGUUUGAGUGUCAUUAAAUUCUCAACCUUGAGCCAGUUUGCGCUGGCCUUCAAGGCUUGGAUGUGAGGGCUUUGCUGGCUUCCUUCAGUGGAUGGUCUGCUCCCUUUAAAUGCAUUAGUGGGAUCCUUUGUGGACGGUCACUUGGUGUGAUAAUUAUCUGCGCCUCGUACUGUGAAGCAAAACUUGUGGGAACCCGCUCAUAACCGUCCGAAAGGACAAUUUAUUGACCAUUUGACCUCAAAUCAGGUAGGACUACCCGCUGAACUUAAGCAUAUCAAUAAGCGGAGGAAAAGAAACUAACAAGGAUUCCCCUAGUAACUGCGAGUGAAGCGGGAAAAGCUCAAAUUUAAAAUCUGGCGGCCU
RNAcentral lists this ribosomal RNA (801 nucleotides) under Mycena pachyderma. Its description in RNAcentral is "eukaryotic LSU rRNA". The stretch from base 298 to 451 matches the Rfam family "5.8S ribosomal RNA". The record is from RNAcentral. Lineage: Eukaryota; Fungi; Basidiomycota; Agaricomycetes; Agaricales; Mycenaceae.